Molecule: small nuclear RNA, 19 nt
Filed under: Arabidopsis thaliana (thale cress)
Lineage: Eukaryota; Viridiplantae; Streptophyta; Magnoliopsida; Brassicales; Brassicaceae
Description: snRNA_04218
Source: RNAcentral
CCCAACUGCGCGCUAACCU